GGUUGCGAAGGCGGCCCCCUGGACAAGGACUGACGCUGAGGUGCGAAAGCGUGGGUAGCAAACAGGAUUAGAUACCCUGGUAGUCCACGCUGUAAACGAUGUCGAUUUGGAGGUUGUGGCCUAGUGUUAUGGCGUCCGAAGCUAACGCGAUAAAUCGACCGCCUGGGGAGUACGGCCGCAAGGUUAAAACUCAAAUGAAUUGACGGGGGCCCGCACAAGCGGUGGAGCAUGUGGUUUAAUUCGAUGCAACGCGAAGAACCUUACCUACUCUUGACAUCCACGGAAUUGAGCAGAGAUGCUUAAGUGCCUUCGGGAGCCGUGAGACAGGUGCUGCAUGGCUGUCGUCAGCUCGUGUUGUGAAAUGUUGGGUUAAGUCCCGCAACGAGCGCAACCCUUGUCCUUUGUUGCCAGCACGUGAUGGUGGGAACUCAAAGGAGACUGCCGGUGAUAAACCGGAGGAAGGUGGGGAUGACGUCAAGUCAUCAUGGCCCUUACGAGUAGGGCUACACACGUGCUACAAUGGCUCAUACAAAGAGCGGCGAGCGUGCGAACGUAAGCGAACCUCAUAAAGUGCGUCGUAGUCCGGAUUGGAGUCUGCAACUCGACUCCAUGAAGUCGGAAUCGCUAGUAAUCGUGGAUCAGAAUGCUACGGUGAAUACGUUCCCGGGCCUUGUACACACCGCCCGUCACACCAUGGGAGUGGGCGGCAAAAGAAGUAGGUAGCUUAACNNUCGGGGGGGCGCUACCAC
RNAcentral lists this ribosomal RNA (749 nucleotides) under Candidatus Regiella insecticola. RNAcentral's name for it is "bacterial SSU rRNA". It matches the Rfam family "Bacterial small subunit ribosomal RNA", at positions 711 to 1460 of the family's 1533-position model. The record is from RNAcentral. Lineage: Bacteria; Pseudomonadati; Pseudomonadota; Gammaproteobacteria; Enterobacterales; Enterobacteriaceae.